UACGUAGGGAGCAAGCGUUGUCCGGAAUCAUUGGGCGUAAAGCGCGCGUAGGUGGCUUCGUAAGUCCGUUGUGAAAGUCAAAGGCUCAACCUUUGAAAGCCGAUGGAUACUGUGAAGCUAGAGUACGGAAGAGGCGAGUGGAAUUCCUGGUGUAGCGGUGGAAUGCGCAGAUAUCAGGAGGAACACCAGUGGCGAAGGCGACACGCUGGGCCGUACCUGACACUGAUGCGCGGCAGCAUGGGGAGCAAACAGG
RNAcentral lists this ribosomal RNA (253 nucleotides) under uncultured bacterium. RNAcentral's name for it is "partial 16S ribosomal RNA". It matches the Rfam family "Bacterial small subunit ribosomal RNA", at positions 524 to 776 of the family's 1533-position model. The record is from RNAcentral.